This 1269-nucleotide ribosomal RNA is filed under the name Arthrobacter sp. RNAcentral's name for it is "bacterial SSU rRNA". It matches the Rfam family "Bacterial small subunit ribosomal RNA", at positions 79 to 1360 of the family's 1533-position model. The record is from RNAcentral. Lineage: Bacteria; Bacillati; Actinomycetota; Actinomycetes; Micrococcales; Micrococcaceae.
CUUGCUGGGUGGAUUAGUGGCGAACGGGUGAGUAACACGUGAGUAACCUGCCCUUGACUCUGGGAUAAGCCUGGGAAACUGGGUCUAAUACCGGAUAUGACCUUCCAUCGCAUGGUGGUUGGUGGAAAGCUUUUGUGGUUUUGGAUGGACUCGCGGCCUAUCAGCUUGUUGGUGGGGUAAUGGCCUACCAAGGCGAUGACGGGUAGCCGGCCUGAGAGGGUGACCGGCCACACUGGGACUGAGACACGGCCCAGACUCCUACGGGAGGCAGCAGUGGGGAAUAUUGCACAAUGGGCGCAAGCCUGAUGCAGCGACGCCGCGUGAGGGAUGACGGCCUUCGGGUUGUAAACCUCUUUCAGUAGGGAAGAAGCGAAAGUGACGGUACCUGCAGAAGAAGCGCCGGCUAACUACGUGCCAGCAGCCGCGGUAAUACGUAGGGCGCAAGCGUUAUCCGGAAUUAUUGGGCGUAAAGAGCUCGUAGGCGGUUUGUCGCGUCUGCUGUGAAAGACCGGGGCUCAACUCCGGUUCUGCAGUGGGUACGGGCAGACUAGAGUGAUGUAGGGGAGACUGGAAUUCCUGGUGUAGCGGUGAAAUGCGCAGAUAUCAGGAGGAACACCGAUGGCGAAGGCAGGUCUCUGGGCAUUAACUGACGCUGAGGAGCGAAAGCAUGGGGAGCGAACAGGAUUAGAUACCCUGGUAGUCCAUGCCGUAAACGUUGGGCACUAGGUGUGGGGGACAUUCCACGUUUUCCGCGCCGUAGCUAACGCAUUAAGUGCCCCGCCUGGGGAGUACGGCCGCAAGGCUAAAACUCAAAGGAAUUGACGGGGGCCCGCACAAGCGGCGGAGCAUGCGGAUUAAUUCGAUGCAACGCGAAGAACCUUACCAAGGCUUGACAUGGACUGGACCGCUCUGGAAACAGGGCUUCCCUUCGGGGCUGGUUCACAGGUGGUGCAUGGUUGUCGUCAGCUCGUGUCGUGAGAUGUUGGGUUAAGUCCCGCAACGAGCGCAACCCUCGUUCCAUGUUGCCAGCACGUAGUGGUGGGGACUCAUGGGAGACUGCCGGGGUCAACUCGGAGGAAGGUGGGGACGACGUCAAAUCAUCAUGCCCCUUAUGUCUUGGGCUUCACGCAUGCUACAAUGGCCGGUACAAUGGGUUGCGAUACUGUGAGGUGGAGCUAAUCCCAAAAAGCCGGUCUCAGUUCGGAUUGGGGUCUGCAACUCGACCCCAUGAAGUCGGAGUCGCUAGUAAUCGCAGAUCAGCAACGCUGC